AACGAACGCUGGCGGCAGGCCUAACACAUGCAAGUCGAGCGCUUCCUUCGGGAAGAGCGGCGGACGGGUUAGUAACGCGUGGGAACGUGCCUCUCUCUACGGAAUAGCCAUUGGAAACGAUGAAUAAUACCGUAUACGCCCUUCGGGGGAAAGAUUUAUCGGAGAGAGAUCGGCCCGCGUUAGAUUAGUUAGUUGGUGGGGUAACGGCUUACCAAGACGACGAUCUAUAGCUGGUUUGAGAGGAUGAUCAGCAACACUGGGACUGAGACACGGCCCAGACUCCUACGGGAGGCAGCAGUGGGGAAUCUUAGACAAUGGGGCAACCCUGAUCUAGCCAUGCCGCGUGAGUGAAGAAGGCCUUAGGGUCGUAAAGCUCUUUCGCCUGUGAAGAUAAUGACGGUAGCAGGUAAAGAAACCCCGGCUAACUCCGUGCCAGCCGCCGCGGUAAU
RNAcentral lists this ribosomal RNA (449 nucleotides) under uncultured bacterium. Its description in RNAcentral is "bacterial SSU rRNA". It matches the Rfam family "Bacterial small subunit ribosomal RNA", at positions 29 to 524 of the family's 1533-position model. The record is from RNAcentral.